UGGGGAAUUUUGGACAAUGGGCGAAAGCCUGAUCCAGCAAUGCCGCGUGUGUGAAGAAGGCCUUCGGGUUGUAAAGCACUUUUGUCCGGAAAGAAAUCCUUGGCUCUAAUACAGUCGGGGGAUGACGGUACCGGAAGAAUAAGCACCGGCUAACUACGUGCCAGCAGCCGCGGUAAUACGUAGGGUGCAAGCGUUAAUCGGAAUUACUGGGCGUAAAGCGUGCGCAGGCGGUUUGCUAAGACCGAUGUGAAAUCCCCGGGCUCAACCUGGGAACUGCAUUGGUGACUGGCAGGCUAGAGUAUGGCAGAGGGGGGUAGAAUUCCACGUGUAGCAGUGAAAAUGCGUAGAGAUGUGGAGGAAUACCGAUGGCGAAGGCAGCCCCCUGGGCCAAUACUGACGCUCAUGCACGAAAGCGUGGGGAGCAAACAGGAUUAGAUACCCUGGUAGUCCACGCCCUAAAACGAUGUCAACUAGUUGUUGGGGGAUUCAUUUCCUUAGUAACGUAGCUAACGCGUGAAGUUGACCGCCU
Molecule: ribosomal RNA, 529 nt
Filed under: uncultured bacterium
Lineage: Bacteria
Description: partial 16S ribosomal RNA
Rfam family: Bacterial small subunit ribosomal RNA
Source: RNAcentral